GGGACCUUAUGUUCAACAACUUGUUGAGCAAUCUCGAUUUUCUGCAGAUGCCCGCC
RNAcentral lists this small RNA (56 nucleotides) under Caenorhabditis elegans. RNAcentral's name for it is "Unclassified non-coding RNA C36F7.10". The record is from RNAcentral. Lineage: Eukaryota; Metazoa; Nematoda; Chromadorea; Rhabditida; Rhabditidae.